RNA transcript from Pristis pectinata (smalltooth sawfish), 933 nucleotides. RefSeq lists it as uncharacterized. The transcript is spliced from 3 exons. The record is from RefSeq and is a predicted model, not a curated record. Lineage: Eukaryota; Metazoa; Chordata; Chondrichthyes; Rhinopristiformes; Pristidae.
AUGUCGGGCCAGCCAAGGUGGGGCUGGCUGGGGGAAUCGGGCCGCGGCCUAACUGCGGCCUUAACCCGGCCUAGUUUCGGCCCGCCCUUCAAUUACCUCAGUACGGGGCCCGAGGCGCGCCCUUGGACUCGGCGCCCUCCCCCGCUGGGCGGGCCCACUCACUUAAACCGGCAACUUGUUCGUGGUGCUGUAGCCUGCACUGCUCUGAGGCGCGGUGCGAUACCAGUCCACUGCCAGGGGCCGAACGCUGCCCGGCUCCAGGCCCCGCCAAUUAGGCUUCGAUCUGGCGGCGGCGGCGGGCUGAGUGCGCGCCCGCCCGCACCGGCUUUUCGGGGUUACGUCAGAGCGAGGCAGCUGAGGAGCUGCAGCCUGAGCCGCAGGGUAGAGCAGAGCGCAGGCUGGGUGAUGCGCUGCAACAACAAAACCACGGGAAUCGGGCAAAAUCUGCAGCAACUGCAACAAAAUAACGCAGCGCACGAAAGGGCAGAAGUUUGGCUUCAUUUGAUUUGUGUCGCAUUAAACAACACGUAAAAGCAGUUCCUUCAAUUUUAAAUGGCCCCAUCGGUGAACAAGAGAAAUUGGAAGGGAAACUUUCACGUUGCCUGGAUUUCUGCUAUUGGUUGAGAAGACAGAAAAAUCCAACAGUAUUGUAUUGCCUUGGAGACAAAUAUCUGAACUGUGAAAAGAUGACAAAGUCAUGUCACAGAAACUUGGAAAUCUAAUAUGGUCCAUUGAAUCAUUUCUGCUUUAUUUUAAAAAAAGUACAAUUGAUGUUAAAACAUGAGAGUGUUCAGACCUAAGGUUGUCCUAUUUUCUAAUUGGAAAAGAUAUAUGAAUGAGUCUUGAAAAUAUUGAUAUUAAAUUGGAUAAGGUUUAGUUUUGAUAACAUGUAGGUUCAGAUUUCUCUUAUAAAUAAAGAUACUUGGAUUCAUC